GUAGGUGGCAAGCGUUGUCCGGAAUUAUUGGGCGUAAAGCGCGCGCAGGCGGUCCUUUAAGUCUGAUGUGAAAGCCCACGGCUCAACCGUGGAGGGUCAUUGGAAACUGGGGGACUUGAGUACAGAAGAGGAAAGCGGAAGUCCAAGUGUAGCGGUGAAAUGCGUAGAGAUUUGGAGGAACACCAGUGGCGAAGGCGGCUUUCUGGUCUGUAACUGACGCUGAGGCGCGAAAGCGUGGGGAGCAAACAGGAUUAGAUACCCUGGUAGUCCACGCCGUAAACGAUGAGUGCUAAGUGUUAGGGGGUUUCCCGCCCCCUUAGUGCUGCAGCUAACGCAUUAAGCACUCCGCCUGGGGAGUACGGCCGCAAGGCUG
RNAcentral lists this ribosomal RNA (373 nucleotides) under uncultured organism. RNAcentral describes it as "partial 16S ribosomal RNA". It matches the Rfam family "Bacterial small subunit ribosomal RNA", at positions 527 to 896 of the family's 1533-position model. The record is from RNAcentral.